RNAcentral lists this long non-coding RNA (2399 nucleotides) under Rhipicephalus microplus (southern cattle tick). Its description in RNAcentral is "uncharacterized LOC119161056". The record is from RNAcentral. Lineage: Eukaryota; Metazoa; Arthropoda; Arachnida; Ixodida; Ixodidae.
GCAACGGUGACGUCACUCUGCAUGGUGGCGCUCGAGAGGUGGCCAGAAGUGAAGAAGGGGGCCGUUCCCAGCAUCUCGACGGUCAGUACCGAUAGCCUUUUUCGACGAGCAUUCGGCGUCGUCCGAAGGUGCCUCGAAGGCUACGUUGAGGGAUAAACGUGGAAUACAGCAACUGCGUAUACGAAAGGCGGACGGAACAGCCCAGCAAGGAACAUUUGGCAUUCGGAUGGCUACCCUUCCAUCACCCGGUGGCUCACCAACUGGCACCAUGGCUGAUUCUUCCGGUUUGGAGCAGCAGCCCACCGAGGCUACGACGUCGGAGCGACCAUCAAGUCACAAAGAGAGCUUCCCAGAUGAUAAAUGUGCUAUUUGCUUGGGACCGGUUGGGAACAAAGCAUUUCCCGAUGGCUGCAAUCACCAUUUCUGCUUCUCCUGCCUUGUUGAGUAGGCCAAAGUGAAAGCCGCAUGUCCCCUUUGUAUGCACCCAUUUAAAGGCAUAAUCUACAACAUCCGUUCAGAAAAAGAUUACGACCGGCACAUCGUCGGGGAGCUGCGACGUUCCUCGUUAUGGUCACUUAGUGCCUCUGCGAGCAGCAGUUUUUAUCCCCAUAAAGGUAUAUUAUGUUCAACAUCGACAAGAACGCGAGGGGCAGCCGCAGCUACACAAUGCAACUCUCCCAAAUCAAAUCAACAUCAGCAGGCCACGCAUAAGGACUGCUUUUAGGCUUCAAAUAUACCUUAGCGACCUAUGGGCUGUGUCCCACGUCCCCAGCUUCCACCAAGUGUCACCAGAGUUCUACCGUGCUAAUCCAGAUCAAGUUGACCGUCUGGCCCCCUGGCUCAACCACGAGCUAAAAGCAUUAAUGCAGCUCGACGAAACACGUGUGUUGGCUACUUCAAACAAUGUGUGGUCUCUAAUAUUGGAUUUGGACAUCAAGCAUCCCGACUUUUCUCGAAAAAUGGAACCAUUGCUCAACGCGCGUACAGAGCACUUCGUCCAUGAGUUCUAUUCAUUUGCAAGUUCAUCAUCUGAAACGGCUGACGAUUACGACAGUCGCACAGUGUACGCUUCAUGACCUAUUGGUUGGACUGAGGCUAACCCUGUCAAUUCUUUCAGGCUGUUAUUGCAGCGCUUGGAACGAGCAAGAGCUCGAACAUCACCUGCUGCACCAGUUGCCUCAACGUGUGGCCAGCCUGAUUCGCGUCGUGCUACUUUAAUGGUGGUGAAAUCAACCAUAGACAAUCUCUUUAGCUCUGACAGUUUCCGAUGACUUGGUAGACACAGUGGAAGACCAAGUCGGGGACAGAACUGAUGUGACCGACGAGGAGGCAGUUUGUGCAAGGGGCGUCACAAGUCCAUUAGAACAGGGUGCGGGACCAACUAACUCGCGUAACAGUAAUGAUCAUAAGCCUCUCAGUUGUUUGUCCCAGUUUGUCCCGGAGAGACGAAAAUGCGGAGUAGCCUUGGAGGAGUUAGGCUUGCCAUUGUGCAACAAGCGAUUUGCAAGGUGAUGCCGAUUACUACAUUCAGAAGCGUAACUCCAGACACAUGCAACAUAGGAUUUAAUGGAGGCGUACAAAAAACGUGCAUGAACGCCAAAACCAGGGUAGCAACGCAAUAAAACUUGGUGCAACAGCUUUGGUAGCUGGAGUAGCAAGUUGUCCGAAGGGGACCAGCCGUAUUAUCAGCCAAAAAGAUGUGUUUGGCGUUCUUGGUGCUGGCAACAUUAGCAAGCCGCGUGACGCAUUCGCCGCAAGGGACAUCAUUCUCACCCCCUCCAUCAUAGCGAACGCUGACUGGUUUUGGCAAAAGUUGACCGGAAAAUGUAGCUUCACAAGUCGCACUUGCAUACUUAAAUUUCUUUUUUGGUACGUCUUUCAUCUGUAUAUGUUUCAUUGGCUAAAUUUUUAGAUGUUCGUGUUAAUUUUCAUUCACCUGCAGUGUGUGAAAUCUAAAUCAUCUUAUUCCAUUGCUUUGGAAGCUUCGUCAUCCAUGGCCCACUUCACGGCAAAGUCAGCGACAUCGAUUUUAUUGUCGAUGCAUGAAAUUGUCUUAUCUCUACGAACCUGCUUUCAUCAUAGGACCCAACUUUCUGCCACCCUAGGCUGCGUUUUUCACCACAUGGAGUGUCGUUCUCACUUAAUGUUUCUAUAUGUUACGUGGCUAGCAAUACCUGGAUGCUUUACGUGGUCAGCCUUGGCACUUUUUAAAAGCUCAUCUCUAAGGAAACUGUACCUGGGUUGAGCGUCAUUGGCCCUCGCUGGAGCCUACUUAACGUGCACAGCUAAAGACCCUCCGUCAUACAAGCACACAACGCUCUUAAAUCUUUUAUCUGCGCCGGCUGGAUGAUUCUGGAACCUUCGUCAUUGAAAGAAAACCAAUAAAAUAUAAAAAAAUA